ACGCCCACGCAGAAUUCACGUUCCAGCCACGCCCAACAUGGCAGCGUUCAUAAGAGGAGUAAGAAACUUGUUGCCAAGGGGUCUAGUAGUGGCAAGAUGCGCUUCUUCAUCAGCAGAAUUCAGUAUUCCGG
Molecule: long non-coding RNA, 131 nt
Organism: Amphimedon queenslandica
Lineage: Eukaryota; Metazoa; Porifera; Demospongiae; Haplosclerida; Niphatidae
Exons: 2
Source: RefSeq, a predicted model, not a curated record